Molecule: ribosomal RNA, 497 nt
Filed under: uncultured bacterium
Lineage: Bacteria
Description: partial 16S ribosomal RNA
Rfam family: Bacterial small subunit ribosomal RNA
Source: RNAcentral
GAUGAACGCUGGCGGCGUGCCUAAUACAUGCAAGUCGAGCGAACAGACGAGGAGCUUGCUCCUCUGACGUUAGCGGCGGACGGGUGAGUAACACGUGGAUAACCUACCUAUAAGACUGGGAUAACUUCGGGAAACCGGAGCUAAUACCGGAUAAUAUAUUGAACCGCAUGGUUCAAUAGUGAAAGACGGUUUUGCUGUCACUUAUAGAUGGAUCCGCGCCGCAUUAGCUAGUUGGUAAGGUAACGGCUUACCGAGGCGACGAUGCGUAGCCGACCUGAGAGGGUGAUCGGCCACACUGGAACUGAGACACGGUCCAGACUCCUACGGGAGGCAGCAGUAGGGAAUCUUCCGCAAUGGGCGAAAGCUUGACGGAGCAACGCCGCGUGAGUGAUGAAGGUCUUCGGAUCGUAAAACUCUGUUAUUAGGGAAGAACAAAUGUGUAAGUAACUAUGCACGUCUUGACGGUACCUAAUCAGAAAGCCACGGCUAACUACGUG